GUCUAUGGCCACACCACCCUGAACGCGCCCGAUCUCGUCUGAUCUCGGAAGCUAAGCAGCGUCGGGCCUGGUUAGUACUUGGAUGGGAGAAUCUGCUAUGCAAUUCUGGGAGACUUGUGUG
RNAcentral lists this ribosomal RNA (121 nucleotides) under Microcebus murinus (gray mouse lemur). Lineage: Eukaryota; Metazoa; Chordata; Mammalia; Primates; Cheirogaleidae. The record is from RNAcentral.